GCGACGUGCCUAAGGUAUGCAAGUCGAAUGCCGAUUUAUCGGCAUGGCAGACGGCUGAGUAAUACAUGGGAAUCUACCUCAAACUCGAGAAUAGCCCAUCGAAAGGUGGUGUAAUACUCGAUAGUUCCGUUUACGGUAAAGCUCCGGCGGUUUGAGAUGAGCCCAUGUCCUAUCAGGUUGUUGGUGGGGUAAUUGCCUACCAAGCCUAUGACGGGUAGCUGGUUUGAGAGGAUGAUCAGCCAGACUGGGACUGCGAUACGGCCCAGACUCCUACGGGAGGCAGCAACUAGGAAUCAUGCGCAAUGGACGAAAGUCUGACGCUGCGACGUCGCGUGAGGGAUGAAGGUCUUCGGAUCGUAAACCUCUUUUAUCUGGGAACAAGUUCUGAGUGUACCAGAUGAAUAAGUGCCUGCCAACCACGUGCCAGAAGCAUCGGUAAUGCGUGGGGCACGAGCGUUAUCCGGAUUUACUGGGCGUAAAGAGAUGCGUAGGCGCCUUUUUAAGUCACUUGUAAAAUCUCCCCGCUCAACGGGGAAACUGCAAGUGAUACUGAAUUGGUUGAGUCAAGUAGAGGAGAGGGGAAUUCCUGGUGGAGCGGUUAAAUGCGUUGAUAUCAGGAGGAAUACCAAGUGCGAAGGCACCUCUCUGGACUUGUACUGACGCUAAGGCUCGAAAGUGUGGGGAGCAAAACGGAUUAGAUACCCGUGUAGUCCACACUGUAAACGAUCCCUGCUAGAUGUUUG
RNAcentral lists this ribosomal RNA (743 nucleotides) under uncultured organism. Its description in RNAcentral is "bacterial SSU rRNA". It matches the Rfam family "Bacterial small subunit ribosomal RNA", at positions 39 to 826 of the family's 1533-position model. The record is from RNAcentral.